RNAcentral lists this unclassified non-coding RNA (379 nucleotides) under uncultured Parachlamydiaceae bacterium. RNAcentral's name for it is "contains 16S-23S intergenic spacer region". Lineage: Bacteria; Pseudomonadati; Chlamydiota; Chlamydiia; Parachlamydiales; Parachlamydiaceae. The record is from RNAcentral.
UCCUGGUUAACCCAGGCAGUCUCAUUAGAGUGCCCACCUUAAAUGCUGGCAACUAAUGACAAGGGUUGCGCUCGUUGCUGGACUUAACCAAACACCUCACGGCACGAGCUGACGACAGCCAUGCAGCACCUGUGUAUAAGGCCCCGAAGGGAGAUCGCAUUUCUGCGACUGUCCUCAUACAUGUCAAGUCUGGGUAAGGUUCUUCGCGUUGCAUCGAAUUAAACCACAUGCUCCACUGCUUGUGCGGGUCCCCGUCAAUUCUUUUGAGUUUCAGCCUUGCGACUGUACUCCCCAGGCGGUAUACUUAUCGCGUUUGCUUCGACACAACCAGGGUUGAGUCCGGUUACAUCAAGUAUACAUCGUUUACGGCAAGGACUAC